This 253-nucleotide ribosomal RNA is filed under the name uncultured bacterium. RNAcentral describes it as "partial 16S ribosomal RNA". It matches the Rfam family "Bacterial small subunit ribosomal RNA", at positions 524 to 776 of the family's 1533-position model. The record is from RNAcentral.
UACAGAGGUCCCAAGCGUUGUUCGGAUUCACUGGGCGUAAAGGGUGCGUAGGCGGUCGGGUAAGUCUGAUGUGAAAUCUCACAGCUUAACUGUGAAACUGCAUUGGAUACUAUCCGGCUUGAGGAAUGGAGGGGAGACUGGAAUACUUGGUGUAGCAGUGAAAUGCGUAGAUAUCAAGUGGAACACCGGUGGCGAAGGCGGCGGCCUGGCCUCGUACUGACGCUGAGGCGCGACAGCGUGGGGAGCAAACAGG